This 323-nucleotide long non-coding RNA is filed under the name Helianthus annuus (common sunflower). Its description in RNAcentral is "sRNA HanXRQr2_Chr09g0371711". The record is from RNAcentral. Lineage: Eukaryota; Viridiplantae; Streptophyta; Magnoliopsida; Asterales; Asteraceae.
AUGUACAACGAACAACUGAAGGCAAAAAUAACAUUUGACCCAUUGAUUAAAAAAAUAAUUUAAGCACUUUUGAAAUUAUUAAGUCUAGAAAGCUGAGAGUUGAGGUGAUCGCUUAUGUUACUAGUUUCAUGAGUAUAUGGAUGUUUGGUCCCAUGUUUUGUAAUUUAUUAGAUCUUGAAAGCUAUAUGAAGGUUGUUUCUGAAUUGAAAACUUUAAAUGUUCUUAAUAAUACAUCUUGAUCUGUCAGUUAUUCAUAUAACUAUGGUUACAAUUUGCAUGAUUAUUGGGAUUUUUGGACCUAUGUUUUCUAAAUUGUAAUCUGA